This 230-nucleotide ribosomal RNA is filed under the name uncultured Lactobacillus sp. RNAcentral's name for it is "partial 16S ribosomal RNA". It matches the Rfam family "Bacterial small subunit ribosomal RNA", at positions 132 to 355 of the family's 1533-position model. The record is from RNAcentral. Lineage: Bacteria; Bacillati; Bacillota; Bacilli; Lactobacillales; Lactobacillaceae.
AAGAGAUCGGGAUAACACCUGGAAACAGAUGCUAAUACCGGAUAACAACAGAUGAUGCCUAUCAACUGUUUAAAAGAUGGUUCUGCUAUCACUCUUGGAUGGACCUGCGGUGCAUUAGCUAGUUGGUAGGGUAACGGCCUACCAAGGCGAUGAUGCAUAGCCGAGUUGAGAGACCGAUCGGCCACAUUGGGACUGAGACACGGCCCAAACUCCUACGGGAGGCAGCAGCC